This 426-nucleotide ribosomal RNA is filed under the name uncultured prokaryote. Its description in RNAcentral is "bacterial SSU rRNA". It matches the Rfam family "Bacterial small subunit ribosomal RNA", at positions 355 to 774 of the family's 1533-position model. The record is from RNAcentral.
UGGGGAAUCUUGCGCAAUGGGCGAAAGCCUGACGCAGCAACGCCGCGUGAGCGAAGACGGCCUUCGGGUUGUAAAGCUCUGUCAGGAGGGACGAAGCCGCUCAGGUGAAUAGCCGAGAGGGUGACGGUACCUCCAGAGGAAGCCCCGGCUAACUACGUGCCAGCAGCCGCGGUAAUACGUAGGGGGCAAGCGUUGUCCGGAAUCAUUGGGCGUAAAGCGCGUGUAGGCGGCCAUCCAAGUCUGGUGUGAAAGCUCGGGGCUCAACCCCGAGUCUGCACUGGAAACUGAAUGGCUUGAGUCCGGAAGAGGAGACUGGAAUUCCUGGUGUAGCGGUGAAAUGCGCAGAUAUCAGGAAGAACACCGGUGGCGAAGGCGGGUCUCUGGGACGGUACUGACGCUAAGAUACGAAAGCGUGGGGAGCAAACA